GCUCUUACGAUCGGGAACUUGUCGGUUGGGUGUAGCAUCACCCUCAGAGCGAAGAGAUGGCAGGGACCCAGGCUCUGGGAGGGCAGAGCUAGGUUGUUCC
Vicugna pacos (alpaca) is the source of this 100-nucleotide non-coding RNA. Lineage: Eukaryota; Metazoa; Chordata; Mammalia; Artiodactyla; Camelidae. The record is from RefSeq and is a predicted model, not a curated record.